CCUACGGGAGGCAGCAGUGGGGGAUCUUGCACAAUGGGGGAACCCUGAUGCAGCGACGCCGCGUGGGUGAAGAAGCGCCUCGGCGCGUAAAGCCCUGUCAGCAGGGAAGAAAAUGACGGUACCUGAAGAAGAAGCCCCGGCUAACUACGUGCCAGCAGCCGCGGUAAUACGGAGGGGGCAAGCGUUAUCCGGAUUUACGGGGGGUAAAGGGGGCGGAGACGGCGAUGGAAGCCAGGAGUGAAAGCCCGGGGCCCACCCCCGGGACUGCUCUUGGAACUGCGUGGCUGGAGUGCAGGAGGGGCAGGCGGAAUUCCUGGUGUAGCGGUGAAAUGCGUAGAUAUCAGGAGGAACACCGGUGGCGAAGGCGGCCUGCUGGUCUGCAACUGACGUUGAGGCCCGAAAGCGUGGGGAGCAAACCGGAUUAGAUACCCGAGUAGUC
This 439-nucleotide ribosomal RNA is filed under the name uncultured bacterium. Its description in RNAcentral is "partial 16S ribosomal RNA". It matches the Rfam family "Bacterial small subunit ribosomal RNA", at positions 338 to 795 of the family's 1533-position model. The record is from RNAcentral.